CUUUGGAAGAACAAAGCUGAGCAAGAGCAACAAGGAGCCUGGAUGGCCCAACUGUGACUGAAACAAGACCCCUGAACUCCCCAGUCACAAGAGGAAAAUGAGGCUCAGAAGUUAAACGACUUCUGAACCGCAGACAUGAGGGGGUGUCAGCACAUGCAAAAGGCAAAGAAACAUCUUCCAGACUCCGAGGACCUGGCUGAUCCCUGUUCCAAGCUCAGCAAAGUUCUGAUCUUCUAAGAGCCCUGAAUGAGGAUCACCAUAAGCCCAGACACGUGAGCAGAGCCCCAGCUUGGGGCUGUCCUGGGCCUCCAUGGCAGGAGGCCACAGUCUACCUGUGCCCAUGAGGUCCAGGAGCAUAUGGAUGCAGGGGCCCGGGCCUAAGGACCUAAGGACCCUCCCCUUUCAGCCAGGCCUCUACUGGCCGGGUCUCUGGGAUGAAUAGCCAGAUCCAGUCCAAAGCUCUUCUGGCUGAUGUUCCCUUUUCUCAAACCCCUGACUUUCCUGACUGUGGUGGAAAAUAAAAGUCUGACUCUCUA
Molecule: long non-coding RNA, 536 nt
Organism: Galeopterus variegatus (Sunda flying lemur)
Lineage: Eukaryota; Metazoa; Chordata; Mammalia; Dermoptera; Cynocephalidae
Exons: 2
Source: RefSeq, a predicted model, not a curated record